Molecule: non-coding RNA, 71 nt
Organism: Trichechus manatus latirostris (Florida manatee)
Lineage: Eukaryota; Metazoa; Chordata; Mammalia; Sirenia; Trichechidae
Source: the annotation of a RefSeq genome assembly
ACAUUGAUGGUUCAGUGGUAGAACUCUUGCCUUGCAUGCAGGAGACCUGGGUUCAAUUCCCAGUCAAUGCA